Molecule: unclassified non-coding RNA, 438 nt
Filed under: uncultured Glomus
Lineage: Eukaryota; Fungi; Glomeromycota; Glomeromycetes; Glomerales; Glomeraceae
Description: SSU rRNA
Rfam family: Eukaryotic small subunit ribosomal RNA
Source: RNAcentral
AGCAGCCGCGGUAAUUCCAGCUCCAAUAGCGUAUAUUAAAGUUGUUGCAGUUAAAAGCUCGUAGUUGAGUUUCGGAAUCAUCAGGUUGGUCGUGCCUCUGGUAUGUACUGGUCUCGAUGGUUCCUCCUUCUUGAAGAACCGUAAUGGCAUUAAUUUGUUGUUGCGGGGAAACAGGACUGUUACUUUGAAAAAUUAGAGUGUUUAAAGCAGGCAAUCGCUUGAAUACAUUAGCAUGGAAUAAUGAAAUAGGACGUUCGAUCCUAUUUUGUUGGUUUCUAGGAUUGACGUAAUGAUUAAUAGGGAUAGUUGGGGGCAUUAGUAUUCAAUUGUCAGAGGUGAAAUUCUUGGAUUUAUUGAAGACUAACUACUGCGAAAGCAUUUGCCAAGGAUGUUUUCAUUAAUCAAGACGAAAGUUAGGGAUCGAAGACGAUCAGAUAC